AGAGAGAGAUGUAUAUGUAUACACACUGCAGAAACUACUGAUUUUAAGGCUCAGAACAGAAUAAUCAGAGCAAAGGAGGCAAUGCAUCCGCCAUGGCUGCACUUCAAAUAGGCUUUCCAGGUUGCCCCGCCGAGAUACGGAUCCAGCUCCCUUGCCCCAUGAACCCUAGAGACCUUAAAUAUCACAGCCUCUAAUCCUUAAGGGGUCGUUUGGUUGGGAACAAGUUAUUGGAGAUUAGUUAUCACACCAUGUAUAUGGGAUAACUUAUUCCAUCACUAUGCAUAAAUGGUGGAUUAAAUAAUCCCAAGACUAAAUCAUGCAUUUUAUCCCAGGACUAUCAUGCCUUAUACCUUAUGCCUCAUACCUCAUGCCAAACGACUCCUAAGAGCAACAACAACAACAUCAACAACGGCAAAACCCUUCUCAGAAUAUAUCACCAGUCAUAAGAUUUUCCUGUAUAUAUGUAUAGAGAUAUGUAUGUGUAUAUGUAUACCCUUUUUUGGGGCAUUUUUAAGGCUCAGAUCAGUAUAAUCAGGGCAAGGGAAACAACCCAUCCGCCAUGGCUGCAGACCUCAGCUGCACUACAGCUCAAUCAGCUCAUAGUACCUUACAGGUCGCCCCGCCAAGAUACGGACCCAGCUCCCUUUCCCUUGUGAACUCUAGACAGCUUAAAUCAUCACAGCCUCUAAUCCGUAACAGCAACAACAAUAUCAACAACAACAGUGAAAACCCAUUUCAAGGAUUUCAACGCUGACCAUGGAUGAUGAUGAUGAAGAAGUUUCUAUAUACAUACUGCAGAAAGUUCCGAUUUUAAGGCUCAGAUUUACAAAAUGAGGGCAAAGGAGACAAUGCAACCGCCAUGGCUGCAGACCUCAGUUGCACUACAAACAUAGUACCUUCCAGGUUGCCCCGCCGAGAUACGGGCACAGCUCCCUUACCCCAUGAACUCCAUAUAUCAUCACAGCCUAUCAUCCGUAAAAGCAACAACAAUAUCAUCAUCAUCAUCAACAACAACAACAACAACAAAAACCCAUGUCAUGAAUUUCAAUGCCAGAAAAAGGAGAAGAAGAAGAAGCAACAACAAAAUGGUCAAAUCUUAAAACCUUACCCCUUCAUUCUUUUAUUGUGUGUGUAUGUAUACAUACUGCAAAAACUUCCGAUUCAAUGCAACAGCUUAACCAAACGACCCUUAAGAUAAAAUGGUGGUUUAUUUUUCACUUUAUUUUUUCACCCGAAAAUGGAAAUCAACGGUUAAACAGAGAGAGGGCAACCACCAUUAGAAGACACCCCAAUACCUCUCUGUUUGCCUCAUUUUCAAAAAUUCAUAGAUUAUAUAUAUAUAAAUAUAUAUAUAUAGAGAGAGAGAGAAAGAGAGAGAGAUGUAUAUGUAUACACACUGCAGAAACUACUGAUUUUAAGGCUCAGAACAGAAUAAUCAGAGCAAAGGAGGCAAUGCAUCCGCCAUGGCUGCUACCCAGUGUAUUCCCACAAAGUGGGGUCUGGGGAGGGUAAAGUGUACGCAGUCCAUAUCACUACCUCAGAUGAAGUAUAGAGGCUAUUUCCAAUAGACCCCGGCACAGGACAAAUAACUCUUGUCCUCGUCCAUAACAGCAGCAAACAAAACAACAACUAUAUCAACCACGUCAAAAAAAAACUUUUUCAAGGAUUCAUGCAUGUAUGUGUACCUGUAUACAUACUGCAUGCCCUAUUUUCAGCUCAAAUAUACAAAAUGAGGACAAAGGAGACAAUGCAUCCACCAUGGCUGCAGACCUCAGCUGCACUACAGCUCAAUCAAGUAUAAUCAGAAACUUCUGAUUUUAAGGCUCAGAUCAGUAUAAUCAUACAUCAAACAUUGCUGCAGAACCUCGGUUGCUCUACAAAUAAGGCCUUCCCGGUCGCCCCGCCAAGCUACGGGCAUAGCUCCGUUACCCCAUGAACUCUAGACACCACAAUCAUCACAGCCUCACAUUGUAACACCACCACCAACAACAACAACAACAACAUCAACGACAGCGAAACCCCAUUUCAAGGAUUUCAAUGCAAGCCAUAUAUGAUGAUGAUGAGUAAAGAGAAGAAGCAACAACUAAAGGAUCAAAUCUUAAGCCCUAAACCCUUAAUUUCUUUAUAUAUAUAUAUAUAUAGAUAGAUAGAUAGAGAGAGAGAGAGAGAGAGAGAGAGAGAGAGAGAGAGAUUAUUGUGUAUGUAUACAAACUGCAGAAACUUUUUCUAAUUUCAUCGAAAGUUUCAAUGCAACAGCGUAACCAAACAGACACUUAAGGCUCAGAUCAGUAUAAUCAGGACAAAGGAGACAAUGCAUCCGCCAUGGCUGCUGACCUCAGCUGCACUACAGCUCAUAUUACCUUCCAGGUCGCCCCACCAAGAUACGGACCCAACUCCCUUACCCCCACGAACUCUAGACAGCUUAAUCAUCACAGUGUAUCAUUUAUAAUAGCAACAACAUCAACAACAACGACAAUAUCAGCUUGGUAUGUGUGUAUGUAUGCAUACUGCAGAAACUUUUCGAUUUUCAGCGAAAUUUUCAAUGCAACAGCUUAACCAAACAGACCCUUCAGAUAAAAUCAGGCAAAAAGGAGACAAAGCAACCGCCAUGGCUGCAGACCUUCAGUUGCAAGACAAUGGAAGCUACCAUACCGGGUCGCCCCGCCAAGAUACGGGUCAGCUCCAAAUACCCGACCCGACCCGAACUCUAGACAGCUUAAUCAUCACAGCCUAUCAUUCGUAACAGCAACAACAACAACAAUAUCAGCUUAAUGUGUGUGUAUGUAUACAUACUGCAGAAACUUUUUCGAUUUUCAUCGAAAUUUAUCAUGCAACAGCUUCAACCAAACAGAGCCUUAAGAUAAAAUCAGGCAAACAAGGAGACAAAGCAAACCGCCAUGGCUGCAGGUCUUUCCGGGUCGCCCCGCCAAGAUACGGGUUAAGCUCCAAAUACCCGACCCAACCCGAACUCUAGACUGCUUAAUCAUCACAGCCUAUAUCAUUCGUAAAAGCAACAACAAUAUCAGCUUUGAGUGUGUAUAUAUAUGUGUGUGUAUGUAUACAUACUGCAGAAACUUUUCGAUUUUCAUCGAAAUUUUUCAUGCAACAGCUUAACCAGACCCUUAAGAUAAAAUCAGGCAAAGCAACCCGCCAUGGCUGCAGACCUUGCCGGGUCGACCCGCCAAGAUACGGGUUAAGCUCCAAAUACCCGACCCGAACUCUAAUAGUGUGUGCCUAUGACUCUCCGUUUUCAAUGCAACAUCUUAACCAAACAGACCCUUAAGAUAAAAUUGUGGAUUAUAUUUUUGGCGGGAAAAUGGAAAUAAUUGGCGAAAACAGAGAGGGCAACCACCAUUAAAAGACUCCCCAUUACCUCUGUUUCGCUCAAUUUUUAUUUUUCGUCUUAAGUUGAAGAAAAAUGAAAAUUGUUAAGGGGAUUUUAUACUAUUUUUUUUUGUUUUUUCAUUCCCAAUUAAUGUGAAUUCAGCCCAUUUAGCUAUUCCUCCCAACAGAGUUUUCUCCAUAGCUAGGAUCGAAUCAUCAAUCUUUGGUUAGCAGGAUUUUAUACUAUAGUUUCAUUGAUACAUUUUUUUAAAUAUGUUUUAAGAAAAUGAUCCUUUUUAUUUUAGUAACCCUUUCAUUCCAAUUUUUCAAAUUAAUAUUU
RNAcentral lists this long non-coding RNA (3664 nucleotides) under Capsicum annuum. RNAcentral's name for it is "long non-coding RNA (CANN_LNC010821)". The record is from RNAcentral. Lineage: Eukaryota; Viridiplantae; Streptophyta; Magnoliopsida; Solanales; Solanaceae.